UACGUAGGUGGCAAGCGUUAUCCGGAUUUAUUGGGCGUAAAGGGAGCGCAGGCGGUCUUUUAAGUCUGAUGUGAAAGCCUUCGGCUUAACCGGAGUAGUGCAUUGGAAACUGGGAGACUUGAGUGCAGAAGAGGAGAGUGGAACUCCAUGUGUAGCGGUGAAAUGCGUAGAUAUAUGGAAGAACACCAGUGGCGAAAGCGGCUCUCUGGUCUGUAACUGACGCUGAGGUUCGAAAGCGUGGGUAGCAAACAGG
RNAcentral lists this ribosomal RNA (253 nucleotides) under uncultured bacterium. Its description in RNAcentral is "partial 16S ribosomal RNA". It matches the Rfam family "Bacterial small subunit ribosomal RNA", at positions 524 to 776 of the family's 1533-position model. The record is from RNAcentral.